Sarcophilus harrisii (Tasmanian devil) is the source of this 3598-nucleotide long non-coding RNA. RefSeq lists it as uncharacterized. NCBI's taxonomy places the organism in Eukaryota, Metazoa, Chordata, Mammalia, Dasyuromorphia, Dasyuridae. The transcript has 5 exons. The record is from RefSeq and is a predicted model, not a curated record.
GUCGGCACUCAGGGGCGGCCCGGGCUGGCCGGCCCCGCGCGCCCGGACCUGACCUACUUCGGGCACUCGCAGGCUCAGGGCCGAGGAGGAGCCCGCAGGCCGGGCGCCCGCGGGCCGGGGGGAGGGGGAGCUCUGGCCGCGGGGGUCCCGGCGCUCGGCUCGCCCCGCCCCCAAGCCCGGCAGCCGCGCCGGCAGCCUCGGGCCGCCCCCGCCUCCUCCUCCUCCGAGCGCCGGCUGCAGCUAGUUCCGACGGAGCAUGUUGCCGCAUUUCCCUCCCCGCCUCCCUCUCCACUCCCGUUUCGUGACUAGGCCUUACGUCACAGAAACCUGGGCAGACAGCGGAGCCAAUAGGAGCGCGAGAUAUUUAUAGCUCCGAAUUAAAGGUUCCGAGUUUGCCUAGCAACAGCGGGCAGAGAAUCCCGUGAGAAGAGCCACAGGCGCCGCUCCAAUAACAAAGAACAGCCGAGGCGGAAAUAAAAAAAAUAGGAGAAAAUCGGGCAUAGGCUCGGAAAACCAAACUUUUCUCCGAUGGCCCCAGAAGGAGAGGGGGCCGGGCGGUGGGGGGGAAGGAGAGAACGCUUUUGAAGGGCACGCCGCUGCACGCGGCCCCCGCAGACCCCACACCGGUGGGCCGGUCCGGGACUCCGCUCUAGGGGGAAGGGAGCCGGCAAGCUACAAAAUAACACGCCCAGGCGCGGGGCCUUAGCCCCCUUUCGUCGCAGGAGAACCCCACGUUAUGUAAAACCCUUACAUAAAAGGAGCAGAGGGCCUCAUCUCCAUCCGCCCAGCGGCUUACGAUGGACUAGGCUGGCGAAACGUGGAUCUGGUUUCUUUAAUCGUUCGCCCGGCAAUAACCCACAUCACCGUGAAAAUCGGAUGCACCAAUUCCACCCAUAUAACAGCUCUCGAUUCUACUGGAGUCCCCUAUAAUUUAAAUAUGCCAUCUUGGACUGCAUUUAUAUCCAUCAACACAUUACGUACCAUAGCUUGUUCGAUUUUGUUGUCAAUAGCGACCACACUUGCACCAGAGGAGCUAAGGAGAAAGGAAAAAGCAACCAUUAGUAACUGAAUUAUUUUUAAAGACUACACAAAUCUCACGAUAUUCCUUAUUUUUUAACUCUUCCCGCUAAGAUGCCUGCAUGAAGUGCAAAACAACAAUCCCCUUGCUCCUCUCCCCAGUAUUCCAACAUUUCCCUUUUAGUAAACCACAAAGAGCUAAAUUACAUAAUGCAGGGAAAGCCAAUUCCCCGAAAUUAAAGGCCUAAGAGGGGAAGGCCACUAAAAAUGCUCCAAAAAAUCCCUACAUGUAUGUCACCGCAGUUCUCAGCAUCAUCCAAUGCAAUGGACAAAGGACUCGGCGCUGAAAAAAUUCACCUGCAUUAUAACGAGUAAUUCGCUAGUAAACUAUAAAGAUCCUAUCACAGUCAACAUUUACCUGCUGUCAAGUCUCACAGAGGCGUUUUCAGUGCCCAGUAAAGACGACAAGAAAGAGAUCGAGAAAUGUCUUAGUUGAUAAACUCCUAGAUCCAUUGCCACUGAUCUACACCAUUGGGCUUUCAUGCAAUUGCAGCCAAAAAAAAACCCCACGAAAAAUAAAAUGCAAUGCCAGGCUCCUUGCUCGAGCUAUGUAAGAUCUUCUGGCCUUUCUGCAGAAAAGACGGCUGGUGCUCUGCUUUGAAAAGAAAUAAAUAACCCUGUGGCCGCGAGGCGUCGCGGACCUGGGAGGGAGCUGCUGCUGGACUCUGCCGCACCAACAACUCUCGCAGAGCAGCAGCGAGGUUCUGCUCUCUCGCUCGACUGAAGACCUGGUCUCCAGCCUCAGCGUAAAAUAUAUGCCGAGAACAGCAGCAGCUAUUGGCUGAGAGAGCACGGGGAACCGCCCUCCUCCACCUCUCCCUCCUUCCUCCUCCCGCUCCGGUCGCGGCCGCCCCACCCCCACUCCUCGGCAGUUCCUUUGGGAUAGGUCCGCUUCGGUAUCCCGCAGUGGGGUUGGGGGGGCGGGAGGGGGGGGAAUAACCUAAUACCCUAAUUGUCCUCCGAAACCCUAAGACAUUGCCAAGUUCAACCAAAAAGAAAACAGUAUUGGGGUUGAACCGUGGGGUCGGGGGCGCCCAUGUGCUUACGUUUAAGGCCGCGCUAGCUAGCUCGUCCAGCGCCGCGGGCCCGACUGCCCAGGCUGCCUCCGUGGGCCCCCGCCCCUCCCCCCGCUUGCCCGAGCGCCCACUGAGCAUGCCCAGCAGCGCGGCCUGCCGGCGGGGUUAGGCUGCCUGGAGCCCCACUCCGAGCGGCGGCGGCCCGGGGCUCGUGGCCCCUAAAGCCUGAUCCAACGGGGCCGGCCGGCCGGGUAAAGUCUAACUAGAAAGUCACCUCGGCCGUGGGGGAAGAGCGUCGGGCCCAGGCCUGAGGGGCGCCCCCCUCCUUCUUCCAGAGACUAUUUUCCCAUCACCUGCAAAAUUCCAGCUCUCCGAAGUCUCCGGACCGAGCCGCAAAGGAGAGGCGAGGGGGCUGCCGGACACAAAGGCCCGGGGCAGGCGGGGCCGAGGCCCUGCCCUGGGGCGGGAAGGCCGUGGGGGAGGGGGCUCCGAGGCCUGGAAUCGGCGAGCGCGAGGCCACCGCCUCCUGCAACCCCCUCCCUCCAGGCCCCUCUACCCCCGCCCCGCCGGACAGCCGAGGAAAGGCAGAGGUUUAAACGCUUGCAACUCGGUGUCAAAUUAGGGUCUCCCAGGCCCCCGGCCCCUCCUCCCAACCAAAAAGAAGAGAUGCUGGCUGGGGGAUUUUCACAAAACCGAGGCAGGAUGAACUUCAGUUCCUUUAUCGAUAUAAAAUAUCUGCAAACGUGCAUCCCACGGGAAACAAUUUGAUUUCCAGUUAAAUGUAAAGUGAGUUUGGAAAUAGAAACGGAUUACAAACUAAUCUGAGAGGCAAUAGAUUCGAAAGGCCGGAUUUCACUUUACAAUACUGCCCUCUACUGGCAAAAGACCGUAUGAACACAAACAUCACCCACAAAUGAGAUGAGGCAAGCUCAUGCCAUCAAAAAAUAAAGCCUCCUUAGAAAUGGGUCAACGUAACCACAAAUGCAUUUAAAAAGACAUUCCAGAAAACACGUUUGUGCUAUCCCCGUUCCCCCUUCAAAAAGGACCGAAGCAGCCUAAAAGAGCCGUGUGAAAGAAACUCUGCAGUGGGAGCCCACCAGUUUUAGCCAAAACGAACCCGUGCAGACACCUCCACUCUGAAAAGCCUCACAUGCUACUUAUGCAAAAUCCUACUCUGAUGCUUCAUCAUGAUGUGGAGGGAGAAUGACCUUCAGACUGGUACGGAGAGGACAAAAAUUCCUCAUAAGGAAUUAAAAGCCAAGAUAAAUUGCAAGAUAUUAAGACGGAUCCACUACAACAUAUCAAGCUCUGUAUUAGCGUGGAGUCCAAGAAAAAGUUUACAAUCAAGUAGAGUUAACCAUUUCAUAAGUGGUCAGUGCAUGAGUUACAAGAUCAACUCCAUUAACCAUCUCAGUGUCCUGCAAGAUUAUAGAUGAAAGGUAUCCCAGAAUAAGCCACAAUUCACUAGUCAUCGGCUACCAGAGGCACCCAUUGUGAAUACUACA